RNAcentral lists this unclassified non-coding RNA (298 nucleotides) under plant metagenome. Its description in RNAcentral is "partial contains 5.8S ribosomal RNA, internal transcribed spacer 2, and large subunit ribosomal RNA". The stretch from base 1 to 104 matches the Rfam family "5.8S ribosomal RNA", at positions 50 to 154 of the family's 154-position model. The record is from RNAcentral.
GAAAUGCGAUAAGUAAUGUGAAUUGCAGAAUUCAGUGAAUCAUCGAAUCUUUGAACGCACAUUGCGCCCCCUGGUAUUCCGGGGGCAUGCCUGUUCGAGCGUCAUUUCACCACUCAAGCCUCGCUUGGUAUUGGGCGACGCGGUCCGCCGCGCGCCUCAAAUCGACCGGCUGGGUCUUUCGUCCCCCCAGCGUUGUGGAAACUAUUCGCUAAAGGGUGCCGCGGGAGGCCACGCCGUAAAACAACCCCAUUUCUAAGGUUGACCUCGGAUCAGGUAGGGAUACCCGCUGAACUUAAGC